Molecule: unclassified non-coding RNA, 263 nt
Filed under: Hevea brasiliensis (rubber tree)
Lineage: Eukaryota; Viridiplantae; Streptophyta; Magnoliopsida; Malpighiales; Euphorbiaceae
Source: RNAcentral
GGGGGGGUGUGUGGGUGUUGUGGGGGUGUUGGUUAAUCACCCAAAAGGUUCAAAACCUUUUCCUAAUUUGCAAAUAAAGCCAGUAAUCUAAAGAAUAAUAAUAAUUUUUAGUCUAUGCUUUAGUUAUUAGUUGCAAUUACAGCUCAAGUUACUCAAACUACAAAAUUACAGGUAAAUCAAAUCACAAAAGGAAAAAUUAAGAACUCGUAUUUCUAAAUAUUCUCAUAUAUAUAUAUAUAUUCACAAGACAGGUAACAGUCAUA